AGCCUGUUGUGCUCGAAACUGAAAACAUGGCAAGAAGCAAAUAAUUAGAGUUAAAAUUUUUCAAAAACAAUAAGCCAUAACUUUUUCUCAAUCCAUUGGUUAGAUGCCAAGUCUGCAUCAAUAUAUGCUUAGGACUCUAAUGUAUAGAAUUCACUUUCUGUUAAACUUGCAUCUAAAUGCCAGAAUCAACAUUUAGGGAAGAAGACAUUAUAAAAACUUCCACGGCCAGUAGCAGUGCUGCUAAUUGCUGCUACUGAGAUGAUAAUUACAUAAUCCCAGAAGGCCAUACAUGGUGCCUUCUACAACAUUUUGGACAUCUAAUCAAGCACGGUUACACAGCACUCAGUUCUUUAAGAUCACCAUUUUUUUUAUAUAUAUAUUUUUUAAGAUCACCAUGUUAAGCUAUAAAAUUUACACAAAUUUCUUAACAUACUCAUUUUACAGGAACAGUUUAAUAAAAGAAGUAUCAUAGUUCCAGUUGAGCUAAGCAAAAUCCUUCAAUUGAUCGUUAACACUAAAUACUGAGAACACACAGCUAGCAAGUAACUUUAAUUUUGCUAAGAAUUUG
Molecule: unclassified non-coding RNA, 568 nt
Filed under: Hevea brasiliensis (rubber tree)
Lineage: Eukaryota; Viridiplantae; Streptophyta; Magnoliopsida; Malpighiales; Euphorbiaceae
Source: RNAcentral